Molecule: long non-coding RNA, 1527 nt
Organism: Carya illinoinensis
Lineage: Eukaryota; Viridiplantae; Streptophyta; Magnoliopsida; Fagales; Juglandaceae
Exons: 2
Source: RefSeq, a predicted model, not a curated record
UCGCGGUCCUCUCUCUCUCUCUCUCUCUCCAAGCCCAAACCUUCGAACAAUUCAUUCGACUAGCACGGCUUCUCUGCUGCCAUCUCUUCCUGUGACUUCGAAGACAGCUGACCACAAGACUGCUCCUUCAGUCAAAGAAAGCGAGUGACUUCUCUCUCUCUCUCUCUUUCUCUUUAUGUUUGGUUCCUGAGAAAACGGAGCGAGAAAGUGGAAGUUUUAACAAAUAUUUUUGUUUUAUACUAAGUUGGGUGCAGGGUUUUCGUUUUCUCAGAUUCGCAUUUUGUGGAAAAAUGCAUUUGAGUUUUGAGUUUCUUUCUUAUAUCUCUACUUGUUUGUAGCGAAAUGGAGCCCUAGUGUUAGUCAUCAGUUCUUAUUUGGUUACCGUACAAUAAGUCACUUGAUUUUCUUUUUCCUUCUAAUUUACUCGAUUCCUUGGCCACGUUUUUUGUAUAAUGAAGACAUUUUGUCUCUAAAUCCCAAUAUUGUGUUGUGCGAGUUUAUAAAUCAGAAGUUGCAGAUCCUCCUGCUGAGAAAAGUUUGGGAGGUUUGGUUGACAAAGGUAAAUACCUCAUUUUUUUGAUUUAAUGAUAUUUUUUUACUUUUAUUGAUUUGGGUCUAUUUUGAUGAUAAUGUUUAAAUGAAUGAAUAUUUGAGGAAUAUAUUUGUGGGUUAGAUCUGGAUUUAUAGAAUAUUUGAGGAGUAGUUUUAUAGGUUAGAUUUGGGUUUAUAGAAUCUUUGAGGAGUAUAUAUAUAUAUAUGUUUUCUGGAAUAUGGAUCCAUGGGUUUGGUAGUUUGCUUUGCAGGGGUGUAUAGAGAAUGCACCCUCAUGUAUGUAGUAUGUGUAUAGGCUCUUUGUUUCUUUUACUUGCAUUGUUGUAUCUGUCUUUGUGGUUAUUUUUAUUUCUUGGUGUGGAUUGGCCGUUUCUGGAGCAAAUUAUACUUACCCACAAGAGAUAUUGGUGACAUUCAGUGUUUGUUUAGAUAGAUGUUGUGUGCUUGCUUCUCAUUCUCUGUGCCCAGACUGUAGAUGGGGCUUAUAUAAUAGUUUUGAAAAGUUAAGCAUAGAAAGGAAAGAGAGAGAGGUUAGUUUUUGAAUUUUUACUGAUGUUCUGAGGUCUGGAGUGGUGGAAUCAAGAGCUUUUCUAAAGAAAUCCUCCUUCUGCUUUUGGUGAGGUCUGCGUAAUCUGAGAAAUAUCUGCAAUCCACAACAAUGAAAGUAUAAGAAAUGAGAGUGAGAAGGACUGAUGCAGAAUAGUAGAUGUCCCAACGUAUGCUCCCUAAUAACUUAAGGGACCGGGUCAAACGAUAUGAAUAAUACAAAUGGCAGGAAACCAGAGGGGUCAGACGAUAUGAACAAUACAGUCCUACCAUUAGAUAUGUAAUUUUCAUAUAUUAUAAUUUUGUGUUUUGUAAUAUAAUGUAUAAAUACCAAAUAAUGUAAUAUGUAGGGAAUUGUAUUAUGUGUUGCAUGCAUUUUACAUGAUAAAUAUCGGUUUUUUUUAAUGCAUGGUAAUUCGUUGUUUCUAA